This 253-nucleotide ribosomal RNA is filed under the name uncultured bacterium. RNAcentral's name for it is "partial 16S ribosomal RNA". It matches the Rfam family "Bacterial small subunit ribosomal RNA", at positions 524 to 776 of the family's 1533-position model. The record is from RNAcentral.
GACGAACCCUGCAAACGUUAUUCGGAAUUACUGGGCUUAAAGCGUGCGUAGGCGGCUCAGAAAGUUGGGUGUGAAAUCCCUCGGCUCAACCGAGGAAUUGCGCCCAAAACUACUGGGCUCGAGGGAGUUAGAGGUGAGCGGAACUCACGGUGGAGCGGUGAAAUGCGUUGAUAUCGUGAGGAACACCAGUGGCGAAGGCGGCGAUCUGGGAAGAUACUGACGCUGAGGUGCGAAAGCGUGGGGAGCAAACAGG